Molecule: transfer RNA, 70 nt
Filed under: Acheilognathus somjinensis
Lineage: Eukaryota; Metazoa; Chordata; Actinopteri; Cypriniformes; Acheilognathidae
Description: tRNA-Arg
Rfam family: tRNA
About the family: Transfer RNA (tRNA) molecules are approximately 80 nucleotides in length. Their secondary structure includes four short double-helical elements and three loops (D, anti-codon, and T loops).
Source: RNAcentral
AGGGAGUUAGUCCAAAACAAGACCUCUGAUUUCGGCUCAAAAAAUCAUGGUUUAAACCCAUGACCCCCUU